Molecule: small nuclear RNA, 164 nt
Organism: Leptobrachium leishanense (Leishan spiny toad)
Lineage: Eukaryota; Metazoa; Chordata; Amphibia; Anura; Megophryidae
Gene: U1
Rfam family: U1 spliceosomal RNA
About the family: U1 is a small nuclear RNA (snRNA) component of the spliceosome (involved in pre-mRNA splicing). Its 5' end forms complementary base pairs with the 5' splice junction, thus defining the 5' donor site of an intron. There are significant differences in sequence and secondary structure between metazoan and yeast U1 snRNAs, the latter being much longer (568 nucleotides as compared to 164 nucleotides in human).
Source: Ensembl
AUACUUACCUGGCAGGGGAGACACUGUGAUCACCAAGGCAGUUCUCCCAGGGCGAGGCUCACCCAUUGCACUUCGGGUGUGCUGACCCCUGCGAUUUCCCCAAAUGCGGGAAACUCGACUGCAUAAUUUAUGGUAGUGGGGGACUGCGUUCGCGCUUUCCCCUG